This 456-nucleotide small RNA is filed under the name Arabidopsis thaliana (thale cress). Its description in RNAcentral is "ATSL007800". The record is from RNAcentral. Lineage: Eukaryota; Viridiplantae; Streptophyta; Magnoliopsida; Brassicales; Brassicaceae.
AGCAACUGAUUUUCCUAAACAUGAUCAUUAAUUAUGAGAUUAUAUAGAGCUCCUCAAUAUUUAUUACUGUCAAAUAAAUAAAAUCACCUAAAGCUACUAAAAUCCUAUUGAUAAUCUUCGUAAUAACUCCCUCUGUUCCUUUUUGUUUGAUUGUUUAUAAAAAAAAUUUGUUUCUAAAAGAUUGAUUUUUUAAGUUUUCUAUGUAAUAUUUAUUGGUUAGUAUUGGUGAAUUGUAAUUUUCAAGAAAAAUAGUUAAUUCUCAUUGGUUUAGAGUAGGGAUGUCAAAAUGGGUAACCCAACUCAACUCAUAAUCAAAUGAGUUUAAGGUUAAAUGAGUUAUGGGUUGACCCAACUCAUUUUGUUAAAUAGGUUGGGUCUACCUAUAACUCAUUUAAUAUGGGUUAACCCAUUUAAAUAAUAAUUUAAUUAAUUAUUAUUAUAAAAAUAAUAAAUUAA